GAUGAACGCUGGCGGCGUGCCUAAUACAUGCAAGUCGAGCGAACGGACGAGAAGCUUGCUUCUCUGAUGUUAGCGGCGGACGGGUGAGUAACACGUGGAUAACCUACCUAUAAGACUGGGAUAACUUCGGGAAACCGUAGCUAAUACCGGAUAAUAUUUUGAACCGCAUGGUUCAAAAGUGAAAGACGGUCUUGCUGUCACUUAUAGAUGGAUCCGCGCUGCAUUAGCUAGUUCGUAAGGUAACGGCUUACCAAGGCAACGAUGCAUAGCCGACCUGAGAGGGUGAUCGGCCACACUGGAACUGAGACACGGUCCAGACUCCUACGGGAGGCAGCAGUAGGGAAUCUUCCGCAAUGGGCGAAAGCCUGACGGAGCAACGCCGCGUGAGUGAUGAAGGUCUUCGGAUCGUAAAACUCUGUUAUUAGGGAAGAACAUAUGUGUAAGUAACUGUGCACAUCUUGACGGUACCUAAUCAGAAAGCCACGGCUAACUACGUG
Molecule: ribosomal RNA, 497 nt
Filed under: uncultured bacterium
Lineage: Bacteria
Description: partial 16S ribosomal RNA
Rfam family: Bacterial small subunit ribosomal RNA
Source: RNAcentral